This is a long non-coding RNA of Daphnia pulicaria, 901 nucleotides long. RefSeq lists it as uncharacterized. The record is from RefSeq and is a predicted model, not a curated record. The transcript has 2 exons. NCBI's taxonomy places the organism in Eukaryota, Metazoa, Arthropoda, Branchiopoda, Diplostraca, Daphniidae.
UGUAAUGAACGAAAACGUUGUUGUCGCUGUCGAAGGUUCGACAGUUGCACCUUCUAUGGAAGCUACCUCUACUAUUCAAGAAUCAAUGGACAUUCACCAGGCUGCUGAAGAAGCAAUUUUUGAUCCACUUCCUGAUGUAAUGAACGAAAACGUUGCUGUUGUCAUUGAAGAUUCGACAGUUACAUCACCUUCUAUGGAAGCAAGCUCUACUAAUUUCAAGUCUAAUUUUGUGACAUUUCAGUCACUAGUGACUUUAUCAAUGGUACCAAAGAAUUGGAUAUGGUCUUUUGAUCAAAUCAAACAAAUGAUUUUUCGACUUUCGAUGGAUCAACUACCAAAUGGAAAUUAUAAUGUGAAAAGUGUACAUUUUCAAAACAAACAGGAAGUAAUGUAUUAUGUCAACGGAACGAUCAUUCCAUCAAGCACUACUGCUUUGUCAAACCAUUUCACAACAAUUGAAGAUAUUUCGCAAUUGAUAAAGGAUUUCCACGAUCGAAAAAUUUGUUCUGGCAUUCCUCAAGAAAGGUUCAGAAAUGUUAAUUUUUCAUCUCGUCUUUCUGCUACAUUGGACAAAGCUGGCGUGUUAAGAUCGAAAUAUUGCAAAACCAUUUCAGAAAAGAACAGACUGUGCGUUAAAUGUCUUUUUUGAAGAAAUACCUGUCUAAAAGGUCAAGUAAAAUUGAAGUAAAAAUACCAAUUUCAAAGGAGAAAAACAAGAAAUCUAAGUUAGCUGAGAAACAAAAGAAACUAGAUAACAGUCUGAAACAAGUUAAAGUUCUGAAAGGAAAACAAAUGGUUGCCUGUAAGCUGAUUAAAGAUCUACGCAAAGAAUGCCAAAUCAUGGUUCAAAAAGAAAAAACAAAUGGACUAGAUUAUCAGCUAAAACAUCUUUCAGAAACGG